Molecule: ribosomal RNA, 460 nt
Filed under: uncultured bacterium
Lineage: Bacteria
Description: bacterial SSU rRNA
Rfam family: Bacterial small subunit ribosomal RNA
Source: RNAcentral
GAUGAACGCUGGCGGCGUGCUUAACACAUGCAAGUCGAGCGGGCAAUUUAUCUAGCACUGAUUACUUCAAAUGGAAAUCAUAAGUGUAAUCAUGAAUUUCUACCUUUAAUAAAGAAAAAAGAAAUUCAUGUACGCAAAUAGUGAUAACACAUUUUAGUGGAGUGAUGAGUGCUGGAUAAAUUGCUAGCGGCGGACGGGUGCGUAACACGUGGGUAACCUGCCCCUAUCACUGGGAUAACACACUGAAAAGUGUGCUAAUACCAGAUAAUAUAAGCUUUUGGCAUCAUUAGCUUAUCAAAGAAUUUCGGAUAGGGAUGGGCCCGCGUCUGAUUAGCUAGUUGGUGAGGUAACGGCUCACCAAGGCAACGAUCAGUAGCCGACCUGAGAGGGUGAUCGGCCACACUGGAACUGAGACACGGUCCAGACUCCUACGGGAGGCAGCAGUGGGGAAUAUUGCACA